Molecule: ribosomal RNA, 495 nt
Filed under: uncultured bacterium
Lineage: Bacteria
Description: bacterial SSU rRNA
Rfam family: Bacterial small subunit ribosomal RNA
Source: RNAcentral
GAGUUUGAUCGUGGCUCAGAUUGAACGCUGGCGGCAGGCCUAACACAUGCAAGUCGAGCGGUAGAGAGAAGCUUGCUUCUCUUGAGAGCGGCGGACGGGUGAGUAAUGCCUAGGAAUCUGCCUGGUAGUGGGGGAUAACGCUCGGAAACGGACGCUAAUACCGCAUACGUCCUACGGGAGAAAGCAGGGGACCUUCGGGCCUUGCGCUAUCAGAUGAGCCUAGGUCGGAUUAGCUAGUUGGUGAGGUAAUGGCUCACCAAGGCGACGAUCCGUAGCUGGUCUGAGAGGAUGAUCAGUCACACUGGAACUGAGACACGGUCCAGACUCCUACGGGAGGCAGCAGUGGGGAAUAUUGGACAAUGGGCGAAAGCCUGAUCCAGCCAUGCCGCGUGUGUGAAGAAGGUCUUCGGAUUGUAAAGCACUUUAAGUUGGGAGGAAGGGCAGUAAAUUAAUACUUUGCUGUUUUGACGUUACCGACUAGAAUAAGCACCGGCU